This 1327-nucleotide ribosomal RNA is filed under the name Macrostomum lignano. Its description in RNAcentral is "bacterial LSU rRNA". It matches the Rfam family "Bacterial large subunit ribosomal RNA", at positions 1620 to 2925 of the family's 2925-position model. Lineage: Eukaryota; Metazoa; Platyhelminthes; Macrostomidae. The record is from RNAcentral.
UCUAAACUUAUGAUUAUAUGAACCGUACCCCAAACCGACACAGGUGGUCAGGUAGAGAAUACUAAGGCGCUUGAGAGAACUCGGGUGAAGGAACUCGGCAAAAUUGUACCGUAACUUCGGGAGAAGGUACGCCUCUGUUUGUGAACACUUCGCGUGGUAAGCAAAUGGAGGCCGCAGUGACCAGGUGGCUGGGACUGUUUAUUAAAAACACAGCACUCUGCAAACUCGUAAGAGGACGUAUAGGGUGUGACACCUGCCCGGUGCCGGAAGGUUAAUUGAUGGGGUUAGUUUUCGGACGAAGCUCUUGAUCGAAGCCCCGGUAAACGGCGGCCGUAACGAUAACGGUCCUAAGGUAGCGAAAUUCCUUGUCGGGUAAGUUCCGACCUGCACGAAUGGUGUAACCAUGGCCACGCUGUCUCCACCCGAGACUCAGUGAAAUUGAAAUCGCAGUGAAGAUGCUGUGUACCCGCACCUAGACGGAAAGACCCCGUGAACCUUUACUACAGCUUGGCACUGAACAUUGAACCUACAUGUGUAGGAUAGGUGGGAGGCUUUGAAGCACAGUCGCUAGAUUGUGUGGAGCCGUCCUUGAAAUACCACCCUUGUAUGUUUGAUGUUCUAACAUUGUUCCCUUAUCGGGAAUGUGGACAGUGUCUGGUGGGUAGUUUGACUGGGGCGGUCUCCUCCCAAAUAGUAACGGAGGAGCACGAAGGUUGGCUAAUCCUGGUCGGACAUCAGGAGGUUAGUGCAAUGGCAUAAGCCGGCUUAACUGCGAGACAGACACGUCGAGCAGGUACGAAAGUAGGUCAUAGUGAUCCGGUGGUUCUGAAUGGAAGGGCCAUCGCUCAACGGAUAAAAGGUACUCCGGGGAUAACAGGCUGAUACCGCCCAAGAGUUCAUAUCGACGGCGGUGUUUGGCACCUCGAUGUCGGCUCAUCACAUCCUGGGGCUGAAGUCGGUCCCAAGGGUAUGGCUGUUCGCCAUUUAAAGUGGUACGCGAGCUGGGUUUAGAACGUCGUGAGACAGUUCGGUCCCUAUCUGGUGUGGGCGUUGGAUGAUUGAGGGGAGCUGCUCCUAGUACGAGAGGACCGGAGUGGACGAACCGCUGGUGUUCGGGUUGUCAUGCCAAUGGCACUGCCCGGUAGCUACGUUCGGAAUCGAUAACCGCUGAAAGCAUCUAAGCGGGAAGCGAGCCCCGAGAUGAGUCAUCCCUGAUAGUUUAACUAUCCUGAAGGGUUGUUUAAGACGAAGACGUUGAUAGGCAGGGUGUGGAAGCGUUGUGAGGCGUUAAGCUAACCUGUACUAAUUGCCCGAGAGGCUUAAUCAU